GGCACUUUGGCCGAGUGGUCUAAGGCGCCGUGUUCAGGUUGAGUCGAUUCGUUCGACUGGGCUUAUUCGCGGUCUAGUAAUAGGCGAGGGUUCGAAUCCCUCAGGUGUCA
This is a transfer RNA of Metarhizium anisopliae BRIP 53293, 110 nucleotides long. It matches the Rfam family "tRNA". From Rfam's summary of the family: Transfer RNA (tRNA) molecules are approximately 80 nucleotides in length. The record is from Rfam. Lineage: Eukaryota; Fungi; Ascomycota; Sordariomycetes; Hypocreales; Clavicipitaceae.